Molecule: ribosomal RNA, 797 nt
Filed under: uncultured bacterium
Lineage: Bacteria
Description: bacterial SSU rRNA
Rfam family: Bacterial small subunit ribosomal RNA
Source: RNAcentral
AGAGUUUGAUCCUGGCUCAGGAUGAACGCUAGCGACAGGCUUAACACAUGCAAGUCGAGGGGCAGCACGGGAGUAGCAAUACAACUGGUGGCGACCGGCGCACGGGUGAGUAACGCGUAUGCAACCUACCUAUCAGAGGGGAAUAACCCGGCGAAAGUCGGACUAAUACCGCAUAAAACAGGGGCACCGCAUGGUGAUAUUUGUUAAAGAAAUUCGCUGAUAGAUGGGCAUGCGUUCCAUUAGGUAGUUGGUGAGGUAACGGCUCACCAAGCCGACGAUGGAUAGGGGAACUGAGAGGUUGGUCCCCCACACUGGUACUGAGACACGGACCAGACUCCUACGGGAGGCAGCAGUGAGGAAUAUUGGUCAAUGGGCGAGAGCCUGAACCAGCCAAGUCGCGUGAAGGAAGAAGGAUCUAUGGUUCGUAAACUUCUUUUGCAGGGGAAUAAAGUGCAGGACGUGUCCUGUUUUGUAUGUACCCUGAGAAUAAGGAUCGGCUAACUCCGUGCCAGCAGCCGCGGUAAUACGGAGGAUCCGAGCGUUAUCCGGAUUUAUUGGGUUUAAAGGGUGCGUAGGUGGUUUGAUAAGUCAGCGGUGAAAGUUUGCAGCUUAACUGUAAAAAUGCCGUUGAAACUGUCAGACUUGAGUGUAAAUGAGGUAGGCGGAAUGCGUGGUGUAGCGGUGAAAUGCAUAGAUAUCACGCAGAACUCCGAUUGCGAAGGCAGCUUACUAAGCUACAACUGACACUGAAGCACGAAAGCGUGGGGAUCAAACAGGAUUAGAUACCCUGGUAGUCG